GGAAAGGUGGCAGAGUUGGUUAAUGCGGUUGUCUUGAAAACAGCAGCCAUUAAAGUGGUUCGUGAGUUCGAAUCUCACCCUUUCCC
This 86-nucleotide transfer RNA is filed under the name Ephydatia muelleri. RNAcentral's name for it is "tRNA-Ser (TGA) (tRNA-Ser-TGA-3 1 to 3)". It matches the Rfam family "tRNA". Rfam says of the family: Transfer RNA (tRNA) molecules are approximately 80 nucleotides in length. Their secondary structure includes four short double-helical elements and three loops (D, anti-codon, and T loops). Further hydrogen bonds mediate the characteristic L-shaped molecular structure. tRNAs have two regions of fundamental functional importance: the anti-codon, which is responsible for specific mRNA codon recognition, and the 3' end, to which the tRNAs corresponding amino acid is attached (by aminoacyl-tRNA synthetases). tRNAs cope with the degeneracy of the genetic code in two manners: having more than one tRNA (with a specific anti-codon) for a particular amino acid; and 'wobble' base-pairing, i.e. permitting non-standard base-pairing at the 3rd anti-codon position. RNAcentral also lists the same sequence under 9 other names. Lineage: Eukaryota; Metazoa; Porifera; Demospongiae; Spongillida; Spongillidae. The record is from RNAcentral.